RNAcentral lists this long non-coding RNA (25965 nucleotides) under Solanum tuberosum (potato). Its description in RNAcentral is "long non-coding RNA (STUB_LNC006728)". Lineage: Eukaryota; Viridiplantae; Streptophyta; Magnoliopsida; Solanales; Solanaceae. The record is from RNAcentral.
CCACUUAACAAAAGAAACCAUAUUUAACUACCUAAAAUCAAAACCAAUUGCAAGUCACAAGCUUCAUGGUAAUGACUUGAGCGAACUUGGCAUUAGUAUUUAGUAAGGCACUGGAAGAGGCCGUGGCAAGGCUCCAUGAGCUGCUUUUGACCUUGUCUGGAAUUUGCAUUCCACUGAUAACAAUUGACUUUCUUCAGUGUUGAUCAGUUGUAGUAGAAUUCUUGCCCAUCAGUCCACUCGUGGACUGCUGCUUUUACUAGUGUCCUGUUUUCGUUUAUCAAAUUCCAGGCUGGGAAGUCUUCUCUUGGCAUCACAAAAUCUUCUUCCCCGAGCUUCAAACUGGGGCAGAAAUCGCCAAUUCCAUCACCUAGAUAGAUCAUUCUUUUCUUCCCUUCCUUAGCGAUGGUGGCUUGUAUUCCAAGGCAUAGUUGGGAGAAGUUGAUUGAACAAAUCAGUAGCGCCUAACUCAUCCACCACCCAAUUGUCACUAUCAACAUCAAUGAUCGUCUUGUCAAAGUAAAAAACCACUACAAUUCCAACCAUUUCUUUUAGUAACUUCUAGAUUGGUUAGAAACAAGAAAACAGAUGAAUAUAGAAGAAGACCUCUGUUUCUUGUUCUUUUGGGAUUUUUACUAUUUGUGUUUGUGAACACCAAACUAAAGAGGAAGCUUUAUAGGGAGGGGAAAAAGAGAAUUAGGCAAACAAAAUAAAAAAUGAUGCCAAGGGAAUAUUACAUAAGUUAGUGGUAAGUUAACGCAAAGCCACUCAAAUUCCUAAACUCACUUGGUUUUCUUCUUUCAGCAUCCUUAAUAAUUUUUGGAUAUUAGACGUUAGAUUUUAGUAUACUUGAUUGAAACGGAUCAUCGUGCGGUGGAUAAAUACCUUAUUCUUUAUGGUAUAAUAAAUAACUUUUUAUUAAUUAGGUGGGAGAUUUUAUUUUUUAUGGGAAUUCGAUGGAAUAUGACAGACUAUUCCAUGCAGGGAAUGCAGUUCUCCACAAAUUAGAAUUCAACUAAAUCCUUGUACAUAGGAGAAUACAUCUAGAUUUAUGUGAUGAAAUAUUUAUAUAGGAAUUAGUACAUAUUUAGUUGUUUUUACCGUGUUCUUUAUAUUUUAAUUACUCCUUCCGGUUCUGUCUCAUAUGUCCAUUUUUUGUCUUUACGUGCUACUUAAAAAUCAUAAAUAAAAAAUUAAAAGGAUGUUUUGUCUAUUUAAGUUUAUAUGUAUAACAUUGUUUUUUUUGACAAAGAAUCAAAUAUGUAUAGACGGUGCAUGUAAUGGUUUUGUGCAAUGUCAAUUAGUUUGAAGUCAACUAGUCAUGCUAUGUUAUAAACAUGAGGUGGUAACCCUAAAACAAAAACAAAAAAAGGCAAUAUAAAUGGUUGAUAAUAUAACUAUGAUGAAAUUUUGAAUUAUUUUUCUUCCUACUAUAUGCAUGUCAUUGAGCUCCAAACCUUAAUGACAUGCAUAUAGGAUUAGCACUACUGGAGAUUUGGUGCAACAAAAUUUGAUCCCAUUCAUUUGCAUAAAUGUCACGACCCAGACCGUCGUAAUUGGCACCCAUACUAACCCUUCGGUGGGAGAACCAUUACUACAACCCAAACUAACAACACAACAAAAAACUAAGGCAUUUAAAGAUACGGAAGCAAGUUAAAAUGACUAAAAGAAAUAUGGAGUUCUCAUAAACUCCCCAAGUUUUAAACAAAUAACUUAACCAAACUAAUGCGGAAAUUCACCCCUAGAACCUGAAAGUCAUUGUACCAAAAGUCUACUAACGACAAGUCUAAGAACAAGGUGUACAACCCAGAAACUAAACAACACCUUAAACAAAUAUUUUGAGUCCGAAAAGAGUGGACUUAAACCAGAAAGAUUCAUGGCAGCCUGAAAGAACUGGCUCACCCUUGAAUCAGAUCACACUCAAUAGUCACCUAGCUAAGGUCUAUCAAUAACCGCCUGAAGAUACCCUGUACUCAACAAAGAACAAGCAAGUGCAAUAUCAUUACCCAACCACAGUGUACUGGUAGGAUCACGGGCCUAUAUAUCCCAAUAAGUGUAACAUACAUUAGUCAAUACAAUAAUAUAAUCACAUGCACAUAUCUAACAUAUACCAUAUCAUCAACAUAUACGAACAAUGAACAACUUCACGAAUCUCACAUAUCACAGUUAUAUCAAUUUAGAGCAACAUACCAUUUUCCAAUAUCAAUCAUCAUUAGAUAUAAACGAACUCAUCACAAGUAGAUACACAACACAAUUCAAUGGUCCUCUCAUGGAACCCAAUUCAAUGCUCCUCUCAUGGAACCCAAACCCAAACGAUUAGCAUAUCGGUUCGUGGUACCCGAUCCAAGUUAGUGUGUCGAAACGUGGCAGCCGAUUCCAUAUUUAUGUCGGAACGUGGCAACCGAUCCCAUAUUUAUGCUGGAACAUGGCAACAGCUCCAUUCAACAAACCACAAUCACAAUCACAAUGUAUAUUCUCACAAUCAUACAACAAGAUGUGAUUCAUGACAUACAAUUAUUCAAUUAUCCUCAUUUACGAUUAAGGUGAUCAAUAAUGCAACAUUCACAUAUAUACAUGUAUCAUAAUGAAGCAAGAACAAACAUACAUCACACAAUCAUAGAAUCACAACCAUCACCUACCUCGAAACAAGCUUGAAACCCUAAGAAACUUGAUCUAUAACAUCUCGCAAUUUGAAAUAAGUAGGAAGAAGCAUAGAAUGGGAAAUAGUCAUUUUGGGAAAUAAUGAAAAUCUGGAAAUUUGUUAAGGUUAGGAAAUGUUGAGUUUUUAGUCAACUUCAAACGGCCAUAACUCCUAGGUCAGGAUGAGUUAGGUGUACUUCUAGAUAUGGUUGGAAAACUAUUGGAAUGAUCUUUCCAACGCCACCAAAUUUGCGCGAUUCUGAGUUUAUAUGAGUGAGUUAUGUCAUUCGGAAGUUGGGCUGUGUGAUUAAAGAAAGUCUAGUCCGGAUUUUUGAAGGGUAGAUUAGUCUCUUCCUUACCCGAUUAAUUUAAUUCGUUUUAGUGAAUUAAUUAAAGGUCAAAUCAGAAUGAGAUCAGUUUAGUCAAUUGGAAAUUCACGCUAGGGCUUGGAGAAAAGAGAAAAGAGGAGAAAGGAGAGGAAAAACUCAAGAUUCGCCAAGAUCGUGCGAUUUGGUUGUGGAUUUCGCCAAGGAAUUUAUCUUACAAGGUAUGUGAGUCUUUCAUAGCGUCGGGUUCGUUCACCCACGCGCCAAACAUGUUUAGUUCAGCGAAAUUUGUCCUAAAAGAGUUUGAAAGUUGAUGUUCUUGACAUGUAUUCUUGAAUUUGAUUAAUGUUGUUCUUGAAUUGGGAUGAAUUGAGGAGUUUCUGAGAUCUUUACGUUGAGUUUUAGAGUUGUUUUUAGUUAGGUUCUUGAGUACAUAUGCUGGGUAUCGGGAUCUAAAAUGAAUUUGAGAUCAAUAGUCGAGUUUAGGCGAAUAAGGGCUGGAAAACGAAGAAGGAAAAGUCGAGCAGAUUUUGGCACGCAAGUCCGCGUCGCGGACUUGCUCCCCCAGUGCACAAAAAGUUGCUCUGCGUCGCAGUUAGGACGUGGACUCUUCUGUCACAAAAUUUAAUUUUGCAAGCAAAUAUUUUAAUGCAACUCCGCGUCGCGGACUUGUUCCAAGACGGUGAUUUCGUGAUUUUUCUCAUGUUUAGCUAUCUAAAAACACUCCUAAACAUCAUGAAAUCUUUCCUAUCACAAUUCAUAAUCCUUGAAUCCAUAAUUCAAUUCAAGGAGAGUUAAGAGUCAAUUCAAGUAAAGUUAAUAGUCAAAUCAAAAGAAGUUCGUCAAAGUUUUCAAAGGUCUUUUACAAACGUUUUAACUUUAUUUUGAGACUUAAAGUUCAAGUUGAGUAAAGAGUAAAGAGUAAAGCUUGAAGUUCAUUUCUUCAAAAGUAUAUAGGGACUAUGUAUUCCCAAAGGGUUUAAAAUGUUUUCACAUUUAAACAAGAAAGGAAACCUCGAUUUCCAAAGAGCCUUCAGGCUAGUUUUCAGAAAAGAGUAAAUGCUUUCUAAAUGAAGCAAGAGGGAAACUUUGAUUUCCAAGAUAGCUGUCACGACCCGAGAGUACCCCUUAGUCAUAACAUGACGUAUUCGACCCCGAAGGGGUCUUAUACGAGCCACAUAGUCAUUUAUUGCAUUCAAUAAUGAAAAUAGUGCGGAAUAAAAAAAAAACUUAUUUACAUCCACACAUUUAAACUUCAUUAAAACAACUUUAAAAACACACAGCGGAAGUCUAAGUCUCACAUGGCCAUCUUAGACACAGUCACAAAACAUAAGUAGGGACACGGCCCUUUACAAUCAAAAGAAGUCUAUUAAGUCUAUUACAUGAACAAAAGAACUUAAAAGUCUUAUCCUCGAAUCCAUGAGGACAUACCAAGUCUUGGAGGAAAGCAAUCCAACACUUCAAACUAGCUAGGAGGGAUCACUUGCCGGAACCUACACUUAUAGUAAAAAUAUGAAGAAUAUGGGUUAGUACACAAAAUGUACUAAGUAUGAUGACCAUGCAAAACAUGCUUUAAAAGGGACAUUUUGGUUAGAAACCAUGCAUUAUGCCACUUUUUGAAGUACCAUGAAUAGUUGCAUAAAAGACAUACAAUACAAGCAUAAACAUCAAGUAAGUCAUAAUAUUACCUUAAACAAUUUCAACAUGAAAACCUUUACCUUGGACCUUCACCUCAAGAAACCCUUAUGCUAUACCUCGUGCAAUGUAUGGAUGGCGUCCCAUACCACCAUCCAUACUAAGGCACCACAUUAAGGUCACUUAAGGUAACUUAUCAUUCCUUUCUUUCACCUUUGCACAAUAUUCAUACAUAAGAGGUAUAUCAUUAAUUAAGACAUGACAAGGGAAAAUAACUCGUAAUAUAACCCAAGUAUAGCAUGCAUCUCAUAUUAAGCAUUUGAGAGCCAACAUUCUUUAAUAACCUCAUUUAGGCCACAAUUGUAUCACAUACAUUAGGAUUUAGAGAAACUCACUAUGACCCUCUCCAAGCCUACUCGUGCAAUGUAUAGGUAGCAUCCCAUACUACUACCUACACUUUGUAGAACCUAUCAAGAAACCAUAAUGAAAUCUCACAUGAUGGGAAGUAAGCAUUUAACCGACAUAGACCAUGAGAGCUUGUCAUGGAAUCCGGUGUCAUAAGUCCCCACACCGUAAAGAGGUGGUCUACUUGCCUAAGGAAGACCGGUAUAUAUAGCUUAAUGGAUCCACUAGCUUCCUAUGCGGGCACAUAGUUUAUGGGAUAAGGUAGACGAUCAUUGAAACUCAUGCCUAACUAUUGGGGGAGUUUCCAUCUAACCAAAUCCACUCGGUGCUUAGCCAACAUUCCCAUAGAAUAGUUCGUUAUCUUGACAUUAUCACAUAUGAGAGGUGCCAUUGGCCUACCAACUCCAAAUUACAUUUAUUAACACGUGAAAGGGUGCUUUAAGCCUACCGUUUCAAGGUUCAUUUAGGAAAGCUCAUUAACUCCUCUUGAAAGGGUGCCAUGGGCCUACCGAUUCAAGUCUCAUCAUUAACCUUUAUGGAAAGGUGCCAUAGGCCUACCGAUUCCAAGGUUCAUUACUAAUCAUUAAUGGAAGGGUGCCAUUAGCCUACCGAUCCAAGGAUUCAACAAUCAACAAUAUAAUCAUUUAUACAAGAAAAUGAUGCAUAAGCCCUACCAAUUCAAGGUAUACUUUAUAUUGAAGAAUCCUUCAUAUUCUAUCAUCAACAUUCAUGAGUGUCAAAUUGAGAAAAAUCCUUUCAAUAAUAACACAUUUACUUUCAUAACAUGAUCACAUUAGCUCCAUUGAAUGUCCAUUCAUAAAAAUGUCAUGUAACACUUAAAUUUCUCAUACUAUGCCUUCAAGGCCAUGGUCACAAUGUAACAAACAAGUAAACAAUUCUAAGUCAACAUUAGCUCCUCAUGUCUUGCCUUUAAGGCCAUGGUCACAAUACAUUCCAUAAUUAAACACCUCCACCAUAAGUGGAUCAAACCAAGCAAGAACAAUUUUAUCCAUAAUAUGAGAUUAAGCCAACUUACCAUCCACCAAAGCCAUAAUCCUCAAUUCAUCCAUAUACCAACAAUUCAUCAUAAAUAGAUAUACAAAACCAUAUAAAUCAACAAUACAAUCCGAUCUAAACACAAUUUCAUCAACAUUAAAUCAUAGGCAUUAAACCCACUUCAUAAGCAAAUUCAAGGCUUUUAAUGAAAACAUGGGUUCUUGAAGAAGUUUCAUAUAAAAUCAUCUUAAAAUCAUAAAUAGAACUUCAAUUCACCAAUAUAAUGACUUUGAAAACAUUUUACCCAUGAACCCAUAACUAGAAUAGAAAAUAGAAGUUUUGUUCUUUGAAGACUUUUGAAACCCUUUUUAAUGGACUCCUUGAAGGAAAGAUAAUCAAGGAUCAAGGGUCACCAUACCUUUGCUAUGAUCUCCCACGAAAUUUGAUGAAGAAAGCCUUGAAUCCAAAACCCUAACUCCCACUUCUUCUUCUUCUUAAUGGAGGAUUGUAGAGAGGGAAAUGUUUUAGGGAUGGGAAUUGAACUAAUGGUAUCUAGGAAAUAAUAUAUGUCAUUUGGAAAAAAUGGUCCAACACUUAGCCUCUGAGCUAAGUUUUUGAGCACUAAUCUCAAAUCACAGAAGAAGAAUAUUUUUAAACAUAAUGAGCUAAGUAUAUUUUUGGGAGUAGUAUUGAGCACCGAUAUGGGGGAGAGUUCAGACAACUCACAACCCUCAUAAAUCAUGUAGCCACCAUGGGUAGAAAAUGGUCGUACUUUUUAGAUGAUUCAUUUAGUGCUUUUUAGCAUAGACUAGUGGAUCCACUUAGUAGUUUAGGUUCUAUACUCAUGGCAAGGUAUAGGACGACCCUGGCAGCGUGAGGCAAAACGUUGUAUUAUCACAUUAGCUCUUACGUGAUGGUUGUCGGUUAGAGAAACUUCCACAGAAGUUAUUGUAUUCUUAUAUACUUAGUUAUUUGUAUUUUUACAUACAUUUCAGAGUUUUGUUGUACCCUUACAUACACACAGAGUUGACAUUAUGUUUUUAAACAACUUUUCUUUAUAUUGCACUUGUUUUAAACUGCUUUAUAUUGAAAUGAGUUCAGUUAUGUUGAGUUGAGUUGUGCCAGGUAAGUUCUUCAUAUUCCUUUCAGGCAUAUGUUGUAUUUAGCAUUCCAACUCGCAUACUCGUAGAUUCAAUGUACUGAUGCCAGUCGGCCUGGAUCGUCUUAUGAUGCAAACACAGGUAACUAGGAUCGGCAUCCAGCACAUCGUUGAUCCAGUGAGCAGUUCGGAGUUAGUUGGUGAGCCUCCUUGCAUUUCGGAGGACUCCUUUUAUUGCUUUCAGUUUUAUUAUCAGAUCAAUAGGAUGUUGUGGGGCUUGUCCCAACAUCCAUCUCAGUUGUUUUUAAAGGCCUCAUAGAUAGUCAGACAAUUAGUUAUGAGUCUUUUAGAUUUGUAUUUCAGAUGUUUUGCUAUGAGACUUGAGUAGCCAUUUUGGCUAGUUUUGAAUGCUUUCUUUAUAGACAUUCUAAGAUUUUUCAUAAGUUCCUUAUUUGAGGUUAUUUCUAAAGUUUAAGUCUUCCGCUGAGUAAGUAAGUCAGGUCAAGGGUUCGCUUGGGGCUAGCAAUGGUUCUCGAGUGCCAGUCCCGCCCAGGGCGUGGGCUCGAGGGGUGACAUGAUCCUUCCCUUUCCGGAUUCAUUCCGCUUGUUCUUGGUCUACAAAGUAUCAAUAUAAUACGAGAAUCAAUAAACAAUCACUAAUUACCCAAAUUACUAACAAUUCUAUGAACCCUAGAUCAAACCCAUGAUCCUAAUUAUCCAAUUUAUGGUUGUUUCAACCAUAGAAUCCAUAACCAAACCCUUCCCCAUCAAUAUUCACCCAUUCUAUUACGUUCUACGGAUCGAAAAAUGGAUUCGGGGAGUGAAAAGCUUAUCUUUAGCCUCAAGAAUGGUGAAAAACGAGUAGGAGUCGCCUGGGGUUCGUUCCUUAGCUCUAAAAGUCGAAAAACACAUAAUGAGGUCGUUUAGGGGUUUAUUAACGGCUUUAAUUCACACUGAUCCCGCCACAACGGCCGUCACCCCGCUGUAGCGUCCCCGCUAGAGUGGCAAAACCCAGCGCCAAAGCGGGUUAUGCAAGACAGAGAGCUAAUUCAAGAAUUCCAAAAUUCUCAUUUCACAACACACCUCUAACCCACGAUGCUCAUAAAAUACCCUUUACGCUAAGAUCGAUUCUGGGAGUUCUACUCACCCGAAUUCAAUUAUGUAAAGUCGGACGGAUUCUUUAACAGUUAUCUAAUUACUCAUGUAAUCAAAAUCAUAAUUAAUUCACCCGGUUGCUACCAGAUUUCCCUACACCUUAAAGUCUUCGAUUUCGUCCAAAUCUGGACUAGGUUAGGAAAUUUCAAAUCACUACUCAAAAGUUUUCUGGCCCCAAUUCUUUCCCUAUUGGCUUUUCCCUAACGACGGAAAUCAAGUCGUUACAAUAAACAUCACAUAUAUUUGUAGGUCAAUAUUUGACUUUUAUCUUCAUUUUUUUUUUAAAAAAAAACACAUUGUAAAUAUAGAUCCAGUGGUAAACCUUUUACUUUGUGUAUCCGUUUUAUUUCUAUGAUUUAUGAUUCUAUAUCUUGAUUAGAAAAUAACUUGUUUAUAGAUAUAGAUAAUUGAACGACAUGAACAAGUUUGUCAAUUUAAAAAAAAAGAACUCGUGAAUAAUUUUUUAGAACAAAAGAAGAUAAAAUGGAAAUAGUAUCAUGUCUGAUCCGUCCAAUAAAUUUUGUGAUCAGACGAUUAAACAACACAUAAGUUUGGUGGCAACUCAAAUAUGGAGAAAUGAGUUUUUGGUUUGAUAAUUGGACAAAACAAGGAGCUUUAUAUUUUAUAGAGGACCAUGGUGGAGGGGAGGAAGAGAUAGAGGUGAAAAGAUUCAUUACAAAUGGAGAAUGGGAUAUUCAAAAGCUGGGACAAAUAGUGUCGAAAGAGAUGAUCUUGUACAUUACGGAAUGCAUUACCCCCCGUCUGACGGAGGAGGGGGAUAAAGCUUGGUGGAUGGGAAGUACAAGUGGGGAAUUCACAAUCAAAUCAACUUUUGAUAUGCUGCGAUGUAGAAGGGAGAAGGAGGAAUGGAGGGCGAAUAUGUGGGGCAAACAGAUUCCUUUUAAGCUUAGUUUUUUACUAUGGAGAAUUUGGAAGGGAAGGAUUGCCACGGAGGAAAAUCUUAAAAGGAUGGGGGUUACUAUAGCAUCGAGAUGCUAUUGUUGUGAAGAGUUUGAGGAGGAAACUAUACAACAUUUAUUUCUAACAGCUCCCAUAGCCCAAAAGCUAUGGAAGCAGUUUGCUUCAUGUGCAGGUAUUCAACAACAUGGGUGUUUGAAACAGAUGAUAACAGGAUGGUGGGAAGUUAACACUCCUAUCAAACUGAAAUUCAUUUUUCAAGCAAUACCAAGCAUUAUACUAUGGGAAUUGUGGAAACGGAGAAAUGCAAGAAGACAUGGAUUGGAUAUAAAUUUUUAUAAGUUGAAGAGUCAGUGUGUCAACACUAUCAUACAAUUGAUAAACAUGAAAUAUCCAUGGAUUAAAGUUCCUAAAAAUUGGGGAGAGAUGGUCAAAAUACUUAAGGAGUACAAACCCAGAUUGCAUUACUGUGCGGUGAGCUGGAGGAAACCUCAUAAUGGUACAAUAAAAUGCAACACGGAUGGAGCUAGUAGAGGGAAUCCUAGAGAAAGUGCCUAUGCAUUUUGCUUAAGGAACGACAAAGGAGAUAUUGUAUAUGCGGAGGCAGGGCAAUUGGGAAAUAGAACGAACAUGGAGGCAUAAAUAUUAGCAGUCUUUAAAGCACUAAGACAUUGCAAGAGAUAAUUUCAACAAUUACAUUCUAGAGACAGAUUCUCUAAGCAUUACAAAUAUAAUUCGAGGUAAUUGGAAGGUACCAUGGCAGCAGGCAGAGGAAAUACUGGAAAUAAUAGAGUUAAUUAGCUCUACACAGGCAAAGAUUCAACAUGUGUUUCGGGAAGCUAAUAAACUAGCAGAUAAAUUGGCAAAUGAAGCAUUUGAGCAAACGAAUGCAAUACAAAUACAUGUUUUCCAACAGUUAUCAGUGGAAUGUAGAGGAAUUGUGAACAUGGAUAAAGCAGAAAUUCCAUCACUACGGAUUAAAACAAGGAAGAUAACAGUACAAGCAACACAUCAGGGGAGGGAUAAAAGAGAUUAACAAGGAACACAGUUAUGCUAUGUACAUCAAAUUUUUCCACUAUACAGGCAUACAUAACUGUGAAGAAAACAAUAGUCCUAGCUAUGUCAGCUUACAAAAAGCUCCACCAGCAAAAACGAAGUCGAUCAAAUCAGAUACGGAGAGGUUGUCUUGGAAUAUCUAUGUCCGUCUCAAAUCAGUGUGGAGUAAGGCAAAAAUGAAAAGUAUGGAGAUGUGCUUACAUUUUCCAAGCAAUAGCUCAGGACUUGGCAUCAGAUCCACUGCACCACCGAAGUUUACCACUACAAAGGAAGCCGAGGUCAGGAAGGAAGAGUGAUUGGCAUUACAACACAUAAAUGGAGAGGGGGGAAGACUUACUGCUGCGAGCUUCGAAUUAUCAGAGUAAAGGAGGUCAGGAGAUACACAUAAAUAAUUCACAACUUGAGGACAUUUUGUUCCUCAAAGCUACUGUGUAAGAGGCGGAGGAGACAAAGAGGAUGCAAAUGGAAAUCUUACUCUCUUUUAUAGUAUGCCAUUUCCCUUUGGAUUGGCCCACAUUUUUUCAUGUUUUUUGUUUCAUUCCUUUGGGCCUAUUUUACAGGUCUAUAUUUGUAAAUUUUUGGGUUUAUUGAAAUAAAUAAAGGAGCUAACAGCUCCACCAAUAUUAAUUAAAAAAAAAAAAAAAAACACAUAAGUUUUGUCAAUCCAGUAAAACCUUUUUUAUAACUUUAAAUUAAAUUAUUAAGUAGAAUAAAUGCAACACUAAGUAUUACCAGUAAUGUAAAAUUUGUGAAGGAGUGAGGGUUUUACCCUGUGCAUACCUAAAGGAUAAUGGCUGGGAGUUUUCUUUGUGAUGAAAAAAAAUGCCCCACUUGAUAUAACUUAUGAACAAAACAUGGUAGGUAAAAUCAAUAAAACUUGUGAAUAAUUUAACAAGAUAAAAUAGAGCAAAAAUUGUACUAAAGUUAUGCCCCACACAGCACAAUUUGUUAAAAGAGUAUUUUAUUCUUUUAAUUGUGUCAGAAGCGAAGUCAGAAUUAACAGUUUGAAAUUUUAAAUUUUGAAGUCGGGCGGACCUACUUGGGAGUUUGAAAUUCUAAAUUUUGAAGCCGGCCGGACCUACUUGGGUGCUUGGGUUUCACCCCUCAGUUAUUGUGUUGUGCUGAGGUUAAUUUUGUACAAAUUUUUCAAACGUGACAAAAAUGAAACAAUGAUCUCAAAUUAUUCAAUUACUACUCCCUCCAUUCCAUAUUAACUUAAGCUUUGAGGUGUUUCACACCCUUUAAGAAAAGUAGGUUAGGACAUAAAUUGAACAUAAUUUUUCAUUUUUAUCCUUAUUAAUUAUUGUCAAAAAUAACUAAACAUUAAUUAUAAUAACUAAUUCCAAUACUAACUUAAAGGGUAAAAUUGGAAGAAUAUUUUAAAAAUAGUCUUGAAGAUUGAAAACUUAAGUUAAUUUGAAAAAUGUGAAACACCUCAAAGCUUAAGUUAAUAUGGAAUGGAAGGAAUAUUAAAUAGGUUAACAGAAUUGUAACAAGCAUAGCAAUCACUUUUUAACUUUCGAUAGAAAAUAUGCCAAAUAUAUACUACAAAAUAAAGUACAACAAUCUCGUGGCCCACUUUUAGUUUAUCUCUUUCUUCAUGUUGAUGAUUUGCCAUUAGUAUUCAGUAAGGCACAGGAAGAGCCUGUGGCAAGGCUCCAUGAGCUGCUUUGGGUAUCGUCUGGAAUUUGCAGAACUCCACUGAUAACAAUUGGCUUUCUUCAAUGUUGAUUGUGUUGAUUAGUUGUAGCAGAAUUCGCUCGAGUUCUUCCCCAUCAGUCCACUCGUGGACAGCUGCUUUUACUAGUGUCCUGUUUUUGUUUAUCAAAUUCCAGGCAGGGAAAUCUUUUCUUGGCAUCACAAAAUCUCCUUCCCUCAGCUUCAAACUGGGGCAGAAAUCUCCGAUUCCAUCCCCGAGAUAGAUCAUUCUUCUCUUCGCUUCCUUAGCAAUGCUGGCUUGAAUUCUUUCUACUAUCAUACCCUGCAUUAAACAGAAUCUCAAUUCAGGAAUUAGCUAAUUUCAUAUUAAAUCUAAAUUAAAGGAUUUAGUAUUUAGUUACCUUGCACAUGUUGGGAGGGCAGAGAUUGCAACCAUGAGGGGAUGUUUGAAAAUCAACAUAAGGAAGGAUUCGAAGCCUGCCUUCCUCAUCGACGUAACCUGGAUUGGUGUUGAUCUCUGAGAAACAAUCCCUAAUUCCGACAUGUUUCAAAAUAGUUUCAAUGAAGAAUACAUUUGCAUCGCUUAUUACUCUCAAAUCACACCUGAAUAUAUUAACACACAUUCAAUUAGUUUAAACCUCUGAUUUAUAUUAUGCAGAUUUAAAGAAAACAGAGGAAAUACAAAGCUGAAAUUAUGAGAUACGUACCCUAAUGCAUAAGCUGAUUUAAUAGCUGGAACAAUCCUAGGGUGUCUGGGAACCCGUUUCAGUACCUCUUCAAUGUCUUGUAUUGUUUUGCCUUGCGUAUGAAGCUCCUUCAUCAUUCUAUCCUGUAAUUUGAAACACAACAGAAAUUAUAAGCCCGAUGCACAAAGCUUGAUAGACAAGCAUAAAAGUACAGUAAGAAAAAAAAAGGUACCAUGAGAGAGUUCCAUGGCAUAGUGGGGAGAAGCUGAUUGAACAAAUCAGUGGCGCCUAACUCAUCCACCACCCAAUUAUCACUAUCCACAUCGAUAAUCGUCUUGUCAAAGUCGAAAAACACUACAAUUCCAGCCAUUUAUUUUGAGUAAAUUAUCGAGGAAUUAGAAACGAGAAAAGAGAGAAGACCUCUGUUUGUUGUUGUUAUGGGAUGUAUUUGAGUUUGUGAACACCAAACAUAUGAAGAGGGAGCUUUAUAGGGAGGGGGGAAAAAGGGAAUAAGGUACAAAAAAAAAAUAAGAUGCCAAGGAAUAUUACAUAAGUUAGUGGUAAGUUAACGCAAAUUCCUUUAGUCACUUGGUUUUGGAUAUUAGCCGUUAGAUUUUGAUCCUACGGUCGAUAAAUCUUUUUACUUUAUGGUAUAAAUAACUUUUCAUCUUAGUUGGGAGGAUUUAUGGAAAUUCGAAGGAAUAUGACAGAAUAUUCCAUGCGGUUCUCCACAAAUUAGGAUUGAACUUAAUCCUUGUACGAAUUACAUGGGAGAAUUAAUCUAGAUUUAUUUGUUUUUUUAGUGUUCUUUAUAUUUUAAUUACUCCUUCCGGCUCCAUCUCAUAUUAUUUAUCUAUUUUUUCUCUUUGCAUGCCACUUAAAAAUCAUAAAUAAAAAAUUCUUAAUAUAUAUUUUUAGUAUAAAAAUAGCUUAAAUACGGGUAAAUAUUUACGGUGACAGUAGCAAGAAGGGAAUCUGAAUAAGAGAGCAAGUGGUGGUUCUAUAUUAGGAGAUAUUCGAUCAUAAUUCCAAUUGUUACUAUAACUGUGGUAGUGGCAAAUGGCAAUUAUGAUGAUUUAUGAUAUAAAAAAUUAAAUAUAUGAAAAAAUUAAGAGCAAUAUAUAUAUAUAUAUAUAUAUAUUACUUUUCAUUAAAAAAAAUCGAUUGAGCCCUUCUCUUCCCUAACACCAAAUGAAUCAGAUUCAGAAUUGUAUGUGUCAAGUGGCAUAUGAAAUUAAAAGUUAUCAAUUGGAUUAAUGGAGCAGAAAUAUUCACGUUUUGAAUGAUAAUAUUAUUCAUUGAUCGUAACGAAUGUUGACUUAUUCUGAAAAAAUUAUGUAAAAGCUUUACAUAAUUAUUAUGAAGCUAAGCGAUGAAAAAAUGAUUUUAAUAAUUGAAGUUAUAUAUUCUAUUAUAGGAUUUAUCCAUACAAAUAAUAGAGCACAUACAAAAACUUUGAAAUAUUGCUUUUGAACACUAAAAAGAAAUUUAUUUUUACAACAAGCUUUUAAUAAUAUGAUUGUGAUUUGUCAUUACGUGUAAGAUUAUCUCCACUGUAGAAAGAAAUGAAAUUUCAAGGGGACAUCUGGAGAACUCUAGGAAAAAUGAAAUUACGGGUAUGUUUGGAAAGUCACCAAGUAAUUAGAAUUGGUGUAAUUACUAGGGUAGUAAUUACCAGCAUAGUAAUUACACAGUCUAGUAAUUACACUGACAUAUUUGAUUGUCACAGUGUAAUUACACUGUAACUACACAUGUCCUGUUUGGAUGCCACAGUGUAAUUACACAUGUUCUGUUUGGAUACACAAUUGCAAUCAUAAAUUAUAAUAAAUUUUAAAAUAAAAUUAAUCAUUUAAAAUUUAUACUAGACAAAUAAGAAAUUUUAUAAAUGACAUUAAAUUAAAUAUUUAAGAUAUAUAUUCUUUUUUGAAAAUAUAUUAAUUAAUAAACAUAUUUACUGUAACUAAUAUUAUGAAAAAAUAAUUGAUUUAUAUAUUUUCAAAUUAAUAUAUUUCAAUUGAAUUGAUCGUAACAACUAAAAGUAUGAAGUUUCUACGAACAUUAUGAAAUGCAUGUUUGAUAAAAAGAAUAGUAAUAUAUAAAUAAAAUAUCAUAAAUUAUUAAAUGUUUGACAAAAAUAUAAUCUAUCAAGUCUAAUUAAAAAAUGACGUGCAAUGUAAAUUCAAUAUUACUAAAACAAAUGAAACUGAAAAUAUAACAUAAGUAAUAAAUUCAAAACAAAAAAUUUAACAUAAUACUCUUAUAACAAAUUUCAACAUAGCAAUAAAUAUGAUUUAUUUUUAUUUCUUCAUAAUAAAGAAAACGUAGGUCUAUAACCUUACUUAACAUAAAUUCUAUUUUAAUUUAAAAAUUAGAAUACUAAUAAAAUUAUGCUAAUGAGAAAAUAAACAUGGCAUAAAGAAAUAGAUAAUACGAGAAAAUUACAUAAAAUCAUGUAAAGUAAGGUUGAGAAUAAGAAUAAAAUGAAAUAUAAUAAUAAAAAAUAAAAAAUAAAAAAUAGACUUUUACAAAUUUUAGAAUAAUAAAAAUAAAAAUAAAAAGAAAUUAAAAUAAUAGAAGUAAAAAAAAUUAAAACAAAAAAAAUAAAAAAUAGAAAUUAAAAAAAAAUGAAAUAGUAAUCAGGGGGUAAUUACACCAUGUAAUUACCAGCAUUCACAGCCUUUGCCUGUGAAUUGUAGAGUGUAAUUACCCCCUGCCAAUUACACCAACUACAUGUUGACCAAGUAAUUACAUGUCCUUCCAAACAGGACAAGACAGUGUAAUUACACCAAUUACAUCAAAUCCAAUUACCAGGGUGUCCUUCCAAACAGACCCGUGAUCAGUUUGUUGAUUUAGAAGCAUUCAAAUUAUUAUUAUUUUUGACACGUCCACCAGAUAAAAGGCAAUAGCAUGAUUCUUGCUUUUAUUUUUCACUUAUCUUGCCAGAUCUUGAUUUGGUAAUGCACCAUUAUCAUGUGAUAUGUUUCUUAGAUGUUUACUUUUUAUAUAUGGACGGUGUAUUGGUAUUAAACAAUAUCAAUUAUAAAAGGGUAGUUCUUAAUUAUUAUUUAUGAACUAGUGUACUUGUCCGUGCUUUGUAUGGAUAUAAAAAGAUAUUAAAUAUAUUUUAAAAUAAUUAAUAAAUGAUAUAAUAAAAGAGAGAAAUACAAAUUAAGUUAUGAUUAUAAUAUUAUCUAUUCAGAAAAAUUGCUAAAAAAUCUCAUGCUGCAUUUUUCAAUUUAAAAUUGCUGAUAAAAAAGAUGAAAACAUAAAAAUUGAUAUGAAAAGCUUCAGUUAAGUAACAAUCUAAUUAUCAUAGUUUCAUACUAAAUUCAAUGAUUCUUACAGUAAUAUUAUUGGUUCAACCAACAAUACUAAAUCUACUCGAUCAUAAAUUACAUGAUUUUUUUUUAUUUUGUAUAAAUGACUCUAUAAUAAAAAAUAUACAAAUGAAAAUAUAUUUGUACUAAAUCAUGGUGAGAAAAAAAUAUACUUGAAUUACAUUCGAACAUAUUUAUGCCCGAGAUUUAAAAGUUAGAGAAUUUUUUUUCGAUAUUUGAUGCUCGUACUGGCAUUCAUUUACUACAUAUUUGUGUCACAAGAUCCAUUAAUAUUAAAAAUAUAUAUUUAAACUUUCAUUCUUAUAGUAAGCACUGCGAUAAGAGAAAAUCAAGUUGCUAUAGUGAAACACUGUCGUUGAGGUUUUACUUUUACAAUAAAAAUAAAAUAAAAUUAAUCACAUAAUUUAUCGUAUAGAGAUUAUCAGUAGUGAGAAGAAAUAUUUUUUUUAAAAGAAUACGUGUAUGCAACGACGAAGAUGUAGAAAAAGUACCAAGAGUUGAAUAAUUUUUUACAACACUAAUACAAUUGUUCCUAUUAUUACAAUAUUAUUGUGGUAAUUAUUACAUGUCUCAAAAUAGGUUUUUAUAAGUGUCAUUUUAAGGAGUUAUAAAUUUGUAUAUUAAAUAAUAUGAAGGUUAUGAAUAUGAAAGGUUUGGAGUUAUAGAUAUUACUAAAUUAAUUAAGAUUUAAAUUUAUGUAAUUGAAGAGGUAUGAAUUAAGAAGAUGAUUUUAUAAAAUAAAAUAAUUGAAAAAGAUUAGAAAAAAUGUCAAAAAAAAUUAUAAUAUAUAUUGAUGUUAUUUAUAUUUCUUCUCCUGUUUUUGGCUUUUAUCGUUAUUUACCUUUAUAUAUAUAUAUAUAUAUAUAUAUAUAUAUAUAUUCUCCUAUUUUUGGCUUUUAGCGUUAUUGUGUUUAAAUUUUCUCUUUUUUAUUUAUUAAUUUAUGUGCUAUAUAUUAAUUCCACAUUAGUCUUACUUUAUUAUUUCAAUAAAACCUGAAAAGUGAAACACCCACUCUCUUCCUUUACCGAUUAGAAAAUAAAUGUUCAUCAUUUUUAAUAAAUUAAAUUAUAUGCUUACACUUUGUAUAAAUUAUAUGCAUAUAGUUUGUUUGAAUGGAAAGUGCAAUAGCAUAUAAUAUUAGAUUUCUCCUUUUCUUUCUUUGUUCUUUCACAUUUUUCAUUGAGGUAUCAACUAUAUUCUUUUAAUUGUUUAUAUGAUACAGUUUUUGGAGCUGGUCAUUUUUAAUUAUUACGUAGUAAUAAUAGAAAUGUUUAUAUGUAAUCCACACAAAGAAGAUUAAUUUAUAUAUAUGACUAAAUGAUAUCAUGAACAUGACUAUUAACAUAAUUUAGAAUUUGUGAUCAUUAAAAAUCAUGAAAGUAAGGAAAAUAAAGUCAGUUAAAUAUCAAAUAAUUUUAUGAACAUAACUAUAUUAAUAUAAUUUAGAAGUUAUAUGAUCAUCAAAUGUCAUGAAAGUAAGGAAAAUAAAGGCAAUUAAAAAUUUCUAUUAAAGAAAUAUGAAUAAAUGAAGGAGUAGUAAUUGACAUAUUUAUUUAUUUACAAUAAUAAGAAAUAUAUAAACAAAAAAAUUAUCAAGAAAAUGAAAGAAAAAAAGAUAAAUAUGAUUCUUGGCAAAAAAAAAAAAGUGGCAUAUCACUUUUCUUUUAGAUAAUUUAUAUAUUUGUAAAGAACGUAAAUAGAGAGACAAACAGUUUUACUAAAUGAUUUUUAUCCUAAACAAAUACUUUUACAUUUUGAGUUCGAAUCCAACAAAUCAUAAUAGUGAUCUCUAAACAUCUCAAAACUUGAAAAUUUCUAACAAUAAUAAUAAUAAAAAUUAAAAUAUGAAGAUUGCAAAGUUACAUAUUAAUAAUCAAUUUUUCUAUGAAUUAAACUGUAACUUGAAAAUUACAAAUCAACUUUACAUUCUCAUGUUCUAUCAUUAUAAUUAAUAAAAAUUGAUCCACAUAACUACAAAAUUAUCUACAUACUUUCUUGAGUAGCAUACAUGUAUAUGUUAACUCCCUUUUCUACCUUAACUUGAAAAUACGAUAAGUUAACUUUACAACAACACAACAACAACAACAACAACAAAUACAUAAAAAUAAAGUUAACUAAUCAAGUAAAAACUUUAAAGAAUAUUCAAUUAUGAGCAUGAAGAGGAAAGAAGGACCAUGUUCUCAACAUAACAUAAUCCAAUUCUCCAAAACCUACAAAGAGAAGAAGAGAGUAAAAAUAAUCAGAUUCUUUGGAAACUACAAAAAUAAGUAUAUAAAAAAAAAUCUUAAGAAACCACAAAGAGAAGCAAAAGAGAAAAAAAUCACAUUAUUUUCUAAAAAAAUAAAUCAUGAUUUGUAUCAUCUACAAUUCAAAAAAAUAAAUAUUAAAUAUAUAAUUACAAUAAAAAAAGUGAUAAUUAUAAGUAUUAGACAUGUCAAACCAAACUAUGCAAGGAUGUCUAACAUUAAUAUUCUCUAGAAACGACAAAGAGGAAAAAAACAAAUUAUUUUUUCCCAAAAUUAAAAAACCUCAUGAUUCGUAUAAUCAAGAAUAAAAAAAUUAAAUAUAUAUUUACAAUAGAAAAAAGUGAUAAUUAUACUACGUAUGUCCAAACAUUUUACCUCAUAAAAUCCAACUGUGUAAAACAUUCUUCAUUAUACAUAUCUCUCCUGCAAAAUAAGAUCAAAGAAGACAAAAAAUGACCAACCAAAGAAACACAAGAUGAAGAAUAAGAAAAUGAAAAUAAAAUAAUCAUCAUACAUAUCUCAAGAUAAGUUUUUAUAAGUGUCAUUUUAAGGAGUUAUAAAUUUGUAUAUUAAAUAAUAUGAAGGUUAUGAACAUGAAAGGUUACGAGUUGUAGAUAUUACUAAAUUAAUUAAGAUUUAAAUUUAUGAAAUUGAAGAGGUGUGAAUUUAGAAGAUGAUUUUAUGAAAUAAAAUAAUUGAGAAAAAUUAGAAAAAAUGUCAAAAAAACCACAAAAAAGAUAAAUAAGAUCUUGGGCAUUGAGAGGUGCCACAUCACUUCUUUUUUAUCUAACUUUAUAUAUAUAUAUAUAUAUAUGAUUGGACAAUUUUGAUUUUUUAAAGUUAAUAUAUUUAAUCAGUUCAUUAGCUUUGACGAGAAUUAAGGGGGGAAAUAAAGAAGGAAGAUAGAGGAAAUUCAAAUUUAGAGGUAUAUUGUGGUAACCAGACAAGUCAUUGAAAUCACGAAAUUCAAUGACUUUUCUUAGGACCCGGCCAUAGAUUUCUCAAGUAAAAUUUAGGGGAAAAUUUGGCAAAUAAUGUUUAUCCAUAUAAUUUGUCAUUAUUUGACAAAUAUUUUUGGCAAAUAACUCAAAUUCUCAAAUACUAAAAAAACUAGUAUUUGGGUCAAAUCUCAUUAUUUGGGAUCUUUUAAAAAUUAAACUCUACACCAAAUUUUUAUCUUUUACAGAAACACCCUCUAUAAUAGUUGUUUGCGUUGUAUUACAUAAUUUUUUACGUAAACACCAAAGUAGUGAUAGAAUAUUUAGUGAAUAUGAAAGUGAUGAUAUGUUUAUUGAUGAAAAUGAUGAACAAUCGGCUCAGGGUAACAAAGUCAUUUGCUUUGUCUACUUCACAAUGUAUAGGACGAUGCUUGUUGUACUCAUUCUGAACUACCAUAUUGCUCUAGUGUCAUGGACACUACUUGUUAUUUGUUGCAACGAAGAUCCAAUUGACUUGUAAUACAAACCUAUGGUUAGUUUUGGUAGUUUUUAAAAACUUAUGGGUAUAAAUCAUAUUUCCUAAAAAAGUGAAAUAUGUUUCCCAAAUACUAUGGCCAAACACAUGGUGAAAUUUCACCCAAAUUUUAACCCAAAUAAUAUUUGCCAAAAAUAUUUGGAAAUCUAUGGCCAAACGCUAACUUAGUAAAUUCUCAAAGUUGAGUAAUCUUUUGAGAUAUUACCUCAAUUUUAUUCACCACUCAAAAGAGAGAAAUUUUAUUGUGAAGGAAGGUCGUGUGUUCUAAUGAUGGGUUAUAUAAACUCUUCACCUUAUUCGGAGUUGUUUGAGUCACAUGAUAUUAUUCAGUUGUUGUAUCUGAAUAGAAUGGGUCCAGAGUAAUAUAUAUUGCUACACCAAAAAGGAUCUUUAGUGGCAAUAAAUUAAUUGCCGUUAAAUAUGUAUUUUUACUUUUUAGCGUCAAUUAGCUAGUAUUCUUUGUAAAUGUCCAUAAUAUCUAUAGUGACACUAAAUCUAAUGACAAUUAUCUAAUGCUGAUAAAAAUUUUACCACUCUCUGUUAAUAUAUAUAUUUAUUGCCGCUAAAAAUUAUUUUUGUUAUAAUAUAAAUCGGUUAAAUUAGACUUAAAUCUCCUUAAAGAAAACAAGAUUUGUAUGCCUUAUUUAUUUAUUUUUAUCAUUUUAUUUUCCAACUACAAUUUACUAUAAUAUAUGGUAUAUUCACCGACACACGGAUAUGAUUAAUAACUUCAGCAAAAGACACAUCCUCUUUGCACCUUACCUGCCAUUUACCAUCGGAAGGCAGAAAUAUUCUAAAAUUAUUCAAUAAAAACAAAUAUAGGAGUUUAUAGAAAGGCGGGGACAGAUUCAGUAUUUUUAAUACAGAAAAGGGUAAAUUAUUCUUAAACUAUGCGAAAUAAAAAAAAGGGAGACGCAAAAGUUAGGUAUUCCCUUUUGUGGUAAUUGACCAAAUUAAUGAAACCUUAAAUAAGCUAAUUGACAAACAUUGUAAAAGAAAUUCAAGCAUCAAUUCACAUUGCAACACUAUUUGUGGAAAAGACAGAUUACAAUCGUUCAGAUUAUUUGUUUAAUAUAUGUAGGUUAGAGUGUCUACUUAAGCUGAAUUCGAUAAUGUUGUAAUUCGCGGUCUCUUAACAAUACUUAGGACAUGAAACAAAUUGUUCUUAUAUAUAUCAAAGGGAAAAGGGUUAAAAAUACCCCUCAACUUUGUUUUAUUGUUUGACUAUACCCUUACCGUUAAAACGAAGUUAUUUUUGCCCCUGCCGUCUACAAACUCAUCACAUUUACCCCUCAAUUGGAUGGAAACCCCCAAAUCAACAAAAAUAACCCGAUUUACUUAAAUUAACCAAUUUUAACCCGACUCGACCCAUCAAAUGAUACAACCCACCUAUGUUCAUCUUCAUUUUUAACCUAAUUUAUCUGUCUCCCUAUUUCCUACUUCCUACUGUUCAUCUUCAUCACUUCCUUGAGCUUCAAAUCAAACAUUCUUCUUUGCCUUCUUUUCCAUCUUUUCCGCAGCUCACGUCUCGGGCAUCAUUAUGCCAUUACAGGCAUCUCUUCAAUACCCCAUUCUCUUCCUUAGAACCUGCCCUAAAUCUGAUACUUCCAGCAAAGUUAAAUUCGAAAUCUCAUUAACUAUCGCUGAUACUCUCCCUGAUGGAGCCAACUUUGAUUCGUGAGCUGAUGUUGUGAAAUUUGAACUAAUUAACGGUUUAGUAAAGCUGUAGAAAUGGGUUUCAGAAUUUUUUUGAAUCUUGGACUGUGGAAUUGUGAAUGCACAUAAGGUGUUAGAUAUGUGGAAAUAGUUCUGGAACGGUGAUACAGAGAAUUAGAAAUAAAUCGAUUGAAACAUCUCAUGAUUAUGACAUAAAAGCUUCUGACUGAAUUGCUUGGGCUUUGUAAUGGUGCCGGAACAGUGAUUACGGCGACGAUGGGUUUAAUCGUCUGGGAAGUAGGAAGGUUGGGGAAGUUGAGGUUUUAGGCUUACUUACUUGUAUUUACUUAAUCCCAUUAGGUUAUGAAAAUGUUAUUCAUGUCUUUGAAAAUGUAUUUUCCUCCAUUGUUUUUUGCCUUGAUCUCAAGAUGAAGAUGAACAAAGCGGGUCAUCUAUUAGAUGGAUCGGAAUCGGGUUAAAAUUGGUUAAUUUAAGUAAAUCGGGUUAUUUUUGUUGAUUUGGGGGUUUCCAUCCAAUUGAGGGGUAAAUGUGAUGAGUUUGUAGACGGCAGGGGCAAAAAUAACUUCGUUUUAACGGUAAGGGUAUAGUCAAACAAUAAAACAAAGUUGAGGGGUAUUUUUGACCCUUUUCCCUAAAAAAAAUAACUUCACUUAUAAUUUGAUUUAAAAAUACCUUUGCCGUUAAUAAUUUUGUUCAAAAAUACCUUUAUUAUUUGACUUACUUUCCUUUUUAAGCCGAUUGAAAAAAAAGUGACUCAUUUCCUUUUUAGGAACAUGGUAAUUCCUAUUUUGCACGUGACAUGUUUAAUAUCACAAGAUUAAAAAUAUUUUGAUACAUUUGACUUAUCUUUAAUUUAAGACCACGAGAUUCAAUUCAUUAUUUUUUAAACCUCCGUGUCAAGUCAAAAUAGGACAAACAAAUUAAAAAUCGGAGAGAGCAGAAAUGUAAAAUAAAAAAUUAAGGAAUUUUCGUGUUUUUGUUUUUGCCUCCUAAAAGGAGGACCAAACAGACUAUUACACUCUGUAGGUUCAGAAUUUUUAGAUUCUUUAACAUUGAAUUAUUUAAAAAAAAUACAAGUUCAUGUAUGUAUACUAUUUAUGAGUACAAUUUUAAUAAUUUUUUACUCAUAAGUUUAUGUAGUGGGUCGAAAAUUAUGAGUGAAAUUGAAUCUUCUGAACUCAAACCACAUGUUCAAUAAUAGCAAUCACUUUUUAACUUUCGAAAGAAAAAAUGUCUACAACAAUCUCGUAGCCCAUUAGUACUUAGUAAGGCACUGGAAGAGCCGGUGGCAAUGCUCCAUGAGUUGCUUUUGACAUUGUCUGGAAUUUGCAGUACUCAACUGAUAACAAUCGGCUUUCUUCAACACUGAUUGUGUUUAUUAGUUGUAGUAGAAUGUGCUCGAAUUCUUCCCCAUCUGCCCACUCGUGGACAGUUGCUUUUACUAGUGUCCUGUUUUUAUUUAUCAAAUUCCAGGCUGGGAAAUCUUUUCUUGGCAUCACAAAAUCUGCUUCCAUGAGCUUCAAACUGGGACAGAAAUCCCCGAUUCCAUCACCUAGAUAGAUCAUUCUUUUCUUCCCUUCUUUAGUCAUGCUGGCUUGAAUUCUUUCUACUAUCAUACCCUGCAUUAAACAGAAUCUCAAUUAGGAAAACUAAUUUCAUAUUAAAUCUAAAUUAAAGGAUUUAGUAUUUAGCUACCUUGCACAUGUUGGGAGGGCAGAGAUUGCAGCCAUGAGGGGAUGUUAUAAAAUCAACAUAAGGGAGGAUUCGAAGCCUGCCUUCUUCAUCGACGUAGCCUGGAUUGGUGUUGAUCUCAGAGAAACAAUCCCUAAUUCCGACAUGUUUCAAGAUAGUUUCAAUGAAGAAUACAUUUGCAUCGCUUGUUACUCUCAAAUCACACCUGAAUAUAUUAACACACAUUCAAUUAGUUUAAACCUCACAAUUUUAUUUUUAAAAAAACAGAGUAAAUACAUAGCUGAAAUUAUGAGAUACAUACCCUAAUGCAUAAACUGAUUUAAUAGCUGGAACAAUCCUAGGGUGUAUGGGAACCCGUUUCAGUACCUCUUCAAUGUCUUGUAUUGCUAUGCCUUGUGUAUGAAGUUCGUUCAUUAUUCUAUCCUGUAAUUUGAAACGCAACAGAAAUUAUAAGCCCAUUGCGCAAAGCUUGAGAGACGAGCAUAAAAGUAUAGUAAGAAAAAAAAAGGUUACCAUGAGAGAGUUCCAUGGCAUAGUGGGAAGAAGCUGAUUGAACAAAUCAGUGGCGCCUAACUCAUCCACCACCCAAUUAUCACUAUCCACAUCGAUAAUCGUCUUGUCAAAGUCGAAAACCACUACAAUUCCAGCCAUUCUUUUUUGAGUAACUUCUCAGAGACGAAAGAAGAGAUGAAUAUAGAAGACCUCUGGUUGUUGUAUAACACCAAACAUAUGAAGAGGGAGCUUUAUAGGGAAGGGAAACAAAGGGAAUUAGGUACAAAAAAUAAGAUGCUAAGGGAAUAUUACAUAAGUUAACGCAGGGAAUUUCUAUACUCACUUGGUUUUCUUCUUUCAACAUACUCAACUAAUUUUCGAUAUUAGCCGUUAGAUUUUGAUCCUACAGUGGAUAAAUAUUUUUGGUUUAUGGUAUAAAUUACUUUUCAUUUAUUAGUUGGGAGGAUUUAUGGAAAUUCGAAGGAAUAUGACGGAAUAUUCCAUGCAGGGAAUGCAAUUCUCCAUAAAUUAGGAUUGAACUAAAUCCUUGUACGAAUUACAUAGGAGAAUAAAUCUAGAUUUAUGUGAUGUAAUAUAGGAAUUCCAUAUUUAUUUGUUUUUACCGCGUUCUUUAUAUUUUAAUUAUUCCUUCUACCUUUGGGCUCUGUCUCAUAUUAUUUGUUCAUUAUUUUCUGUUUAACUGCCACUUAAAAAUCAUAAAUAUAAAAUACUUAAUAUUUUUAUUUUUUUGGUAUAAAAUCAAACAGGCGUAAAAAUAUUUACGGUUACAGAAGCAAGAAGUCUUCCAUAUAAUCAAUAGGUAGAAGGGUGUAGAAUGAUUGGUAGUAAUCAGUGGUGGAGCCAAAAAAUUUAAUAAGGGAUUCAAAAUCUGAAAAGUAAACACACGAACUAGUGGAAGGGAGUUCGACAUCUCUUAUGCAUACCUAAAAAAUAAUUUUAACCAUGUAUAAAUAGUAAUAUUUUCCGCCGAAGAGGGUUCGGAUGAUACCCCCUAAGUAUAUGUUGCCUCUGCUCCUGGUAGUAAUGUGGGUAGAUAAAUGUGAUAGAUGUUACAUAAGUUAUAAAAAAACUAACGGUCAUAUGAGUUACAAGAAACUAACGGUCAUAGAGUUACAAGAACCAAUAAUCGUCUUCUACCACAAUUUAUACCCACUAACCUAUGCACUUAAUAUUACUUUAGUCAUGCACCUAAUUUUAGACUUAAAUCUCCUUUAAAAAAAUACGAUUUGUAUGCCUCAACCUGAAUAUUAUUUAUUUAUUUUUAUCAUUUUAUUUUUCAACUACAAUUUACUAUAAUAUAUGGUAUAUUCAUCGCCACGCGGAUAUGAUCAAUAACUUCAGCAAAAGACACAUCCUCUUUGCACCUUACCUACCAAUUACCAUCGGAAGGCAGAAAUAUUGUAAAAUUAUUCAAUAAAACAAAUAUAGGACUUUAUAGAAAGGUGGGAAUAGAUCCAGGAUUUUUAAUACAGAAAAGGUUAAAAAGUUUUAAACUAUGCGAAAUAAAUAAAAAUAACUUCACUUCUAAUUUGGUUUAAAAAUAUCUUUGCCAUUAAUAAUUUCGUCCAAAAAUACCUCUAUUAUUUGACUUACUUUCUUUUUAAAGUCGUUUAAAAAAGAGUGACUCACUUCCUUUUUAGCAACUUGGUAAUUUCUAUUUUGCACGUGACAUGUUUAAUAUCACAAGAUUAAAUGACUUAUCUUUAAUUUAAAAUCACAAGAUUCAAUUCAUUAUAUUUUUAAACUCCGUGUCCCAAACAAAUUAGAAAUCGAAGAGAGUAAUAAUGUUUUCAUAAUAAAAAAUUAGGGAAUUUUCAUGGUUUUGCCUCCUAAAAACCUGACCAAACAGACUAGUACACUCUAUAGGUUCAAUUUUUUUAGAUUCUUAACAUUGAAUAUAUCAUAUUUUAAAAGUUGUAUACUACUAUUUAUGAGUACAAUUUUAAUAAUUUUUUAAUCAUAAGUUUAUGUGGUGCGUCGAAAAUUAUGAGUUAAAUUGAAUCUUCUGAACUCAAACGACAUGUUCAAAUAUAGCAAUCACUUUUUAACUUUUGAUAAAAAAAAAUGUCAUACAUACAAAACAGAGUACAAUAAUCUCGUAGCCCAUUAGUAAGGCACUGGAAGAGCCAGUGGUAAGGCUUCUUUGGACAUCGUCUGGAAUUUGCAGUACUCCACUGAUAACAAUUGGUUUUCUUCAACAGUGAUCGUGUUGAUCAGUUGUAGCAGAAUGUGCUCGAAUUCUUCCCCAUCAGUCCACUCGUGGACAGCUGCUUUUACUAGUGUCCUGUUUUCGUUUAUCAAAUUCCAGGCUGGGAAAUCUUUUCUUGGCAUCACAAAAUCUGUUUCCAUGAGCUUCAAACUGGGACAGAAAUCCCCGAUUCCAUCGCCUAGAUAGAUCAUUCUUUUCUUCCCUUCCUUAGCCAAGAUGGCUUGAAUUCUCUCUACUAUCAUAC